This 364-nucleotide long non-coding RNA is filed under the name Hordeum vulgare. Its description in RNAcentral is "long non-coding RNA (HVUL_LNC013273)". The record is from RNAcentral. Lineage: Eukaryota; Viridiplantae; Streptophyta; Magnoliopsida; Poales; Poaceae.
UCUCGUUCUAGCAAUUGUUUCAACGGCGAUUUCUUUGAGUGGACCCAUAACCCACAGGUUUUCCCAGGAUCUUGUCUGGCUCUUGUAAUCAUCCGGAGAUCUUUAAUUCUUUUCAACUAUGACGUAAGUAUGAUUUCCAUCAGUCAUAUUACUUCUUCAAGAUCUAUUUGAAUUAUUUCUCGUCUUUGGCUCAACCUUGCAUUCUUCUUUAUUCUGGAGUGUCUCAGUUAUUCGUGGUGUUGUUUCUCGUCAUCAUUCUCAGCUUGCUAUUCGAAGGAGUGUUUUCUCUCAAACCUUGGUUCAUUCUCUUGGAGAUUCAUCAUUUCAGCCUUGUGUUAUCAUCUGGAAUUGUUUCCAAUCAUGA